GGUUAGUUAGUUAAAGUUUAUAAUGUGAGUUUUGUAAGCUCAAGUUGAUUAGUGAUCAUUGACCU
Molecule: transfer RNA, 65 nt
Filed under: Echinococcus equinus
Lineage: Eukaryota; Metazoa; Platyhelminthes; Cestoda; Cyclophyllidea; Taeniidae
Description: tRNA-Thr
Source: RNAcentral